Long non-coding RNA from Prunus avium (sweet cherry), 535 nucleotides. RefSeq lists it as uncharacterized. The record is from RefSeq and is a predicted model, not a curated record. NCBI's taxonomy places the organism in Eukaryota, Viridiplantae, Streptophyta, Magnoliopsida, Rosales, Rosaceae.
GGGUAUUGAGAGUAACUGGACAGUGUGGGCCUUGGGGCUUGGACAGUGUGGGCCUCUUCGUCUCUCUAUGGCAACCCAUUGAUCCCGUUGCCUUCCACACACCACCGCCAUUUCGAUCCCUUCGAGCGAGCUUCGACCUCCAAACUCCAAUGCACCGCCGGCUCCGAAGACCCGAUUCAUAGGAUCCGACCCCAUCUAAAUCCCAGCUGCAAACAAGGACCCCGAUUCCUCGCCUGUGUCUCCAGACAAGGAACUCAGCUGCUUUGAGCUGCAAUUAAAGGGAUGAUGAGGUACCAACCACCACCACAGCUGUUGUAUUUUCAAUGAGUAAUUCGUAGUCCCUGUCUCGAAGAACCAGGUUGUUAAAAGGUGACAAUUUGGUAUUCAAGGAGAUGGAUCAUAUAGGACAGGUUCUAUUGAUGGAGAGGUUCGUCUUUUGAUGGCCCUGAUGAGGAGAAGGGCACUCUGGAACUAAAUGACGAAGCUACACCUCAGAUGGGCAUAGGGUCAACGGUGAUCUGAUUUUGGGAAGCAU